RNAcentral lists this ribosomal RNA (3855 nucleotides) under Triticum aestivum (bread wheat). RNAcentral describes it as "partial small subunit ribosomal RNA". The record is from RNAcentral. Lineage: Eukaryota; Viridiplantae; Streptophyta; Magnoliopsida; Poales; Poaceae.
AUGGCAGAGUCACUGCUUCUCCCUCUAGUGCGUGGCGUGGCUGGCAAGGCCGCAGACGCACUAGUCGAGACGGCGACCCGCAUGUGUGGCCUCGACGACGACCGCCAAAUACUCGAGCGGCAUCUACUAGCCGUCGAGAGCAAGCUGGCCAACGCUGAGGAGAUGAGCGAGAAAAAUCCCUAUGUCAAGAGCUGGAUGAAGGAGCUCAAGUCUGUCGCCUACCAGGCCGACGACGUACUUGACGACUUCCAGUACGAGGUGCUGCGCCGCCAGUCUAAGAUUGGCAAGUCCACUACCCGAAAGGCACUCAGCUACAUCACGCGCCACAGCCCGCUGCUCUUCCGCUUUGAAAUGAGCAGGAAACUCAAGGACGUCCUCAAGAAGAUCAAUAAGUUGGUUACGGAGAUGAACACGUUUCGCUUGGAGAGUUCUGCCCGUACGGAGGAGAGGCAACAUCCUUGGAGGCAGACACACUCAAAACUGGACGAUACUACCCAGAUCUUUGGAAGAGAUGAUGAUAAGGAGGUGGUGGUGAAGUUACUACUGGACCAGCAGGAUCAUCGGAGAGUGCAGGUGCUGCCCAUCAUUGGGAUGGGUGGUCUUGGAAAGACGACUCUUGCUAAGAUGGUCUAUAAUGACCAAGGGGUCAAGCAACAUUUCGAGUUGAAGAUGUGGCACUGUGUGUCCAACAACUUGGAUUUGAUUGCUCUUUUGAAAUCCAUCAUUGAGUUGGCUGUAAGUGGAAGAUGUGACAUGCCUGACACGAUUGAGCUGUUGCAAAAGAAACUUGAGCAAGUCAUUGACCAAAAAAGAUUUAUACUCGUGCUUGAUGAUGUGUGGAAUGAAGAUGAGAGGAAGUGGGAGGAUGUCCUCAGGCCUCUUUUGUGUACUGUUGGUGGACCAGGAAGCGUAAUUGUUGUCACAACUCGAAGCCAGAAAGUAGCCUCUAUAAUGCAGACCCUUGGAAUCCAUAAGCUAGCAUGUCUGAGUGAACAAGAUUCAUGGAAAUUGUUUGCACAGAAAGCAUAUGGCAACGUUGUAGAGCAGGAGCAAGCAGAGUUGGUCAGCAUUGGCAAAUGUAUUGUCAACAAAUGCAGGGGGCUGCCUCUUGCUCUCAAGACAAUGGGUGGAUUGCUGAGUUCAAAGGAAAAGGUACAGGAAUGGAAGGCCAUCGAAGAAAGUAACAUUAGGGAUAAUGAUGGAGGCAAAUAUGAGGUCAUGCCCAUACUCAAGUUAAGCUACAAACACUUGUCCUCUGAAAUGAAGCAAUGUUUUGCAUUCUGUGCAGUUUUUCCCAAGGAUUAUGUGAUGGAGAAGGAUAGAUUGAUCCAAUUAUGGAUGUCAAAUGGCUUUAUUCAAGAAGAGGGAACAAUGGAUUUAAUACAGAAAGGAGAAAUCAUUUUCGAUGAGUUGGUUUGGAGGUCCUUCCUCCAAGAUCGGAAAGUGGCAUUCAUACCUGCUGUCAAUGGUGCUAAAAUGGGCUAUGAUGAGAUUAUAUUAUGUAAAAUGCAUGACUUAAUGCAUGAUCUAGCAAAAGAUGUCACAGAUGAAUGUGCAAGUAUAGAAGAAAUGACUCAACAGAAAGCAAUGUUAAAAGAUGUUUGUCACCUGAAAGUAUCAAAUGAAUUGGAAAAUAUCAGUGGGUUAUGCAAAAGCAUAACAUACCUCCGCACAUUAUUAGCUCCUUCAGUAUCACACAAGAAUGUUAAAGAGUUGCUACGGGUAUCAACAUCACUAAGAGCAUUGCAUUGGUCCGCCUCUUCAACUGUCAUUUGCAAGGCCAUAAAUUCUAAACAUUUACGGUAUCUUGACAUCUCUGGGUCUAGCAUCAUAAGGCUGCCAGAUGCAAUAUGCGUGUUGUAUAACUUGCAAACACUGAGGCUCAUAGAUUGCCAGGAGCUGCAGCAGUUACCAGAAGACAUGGCAAUACUGAGAAAACUCAUGCAUCUUUAUCUUUCUGGUUGUCAUAGUCUCAAAAGUAUGUCUCCAAACUUUGGUCUAUUGAACAAUCUUCACAUAUUAACAUCAUUUGUUGUGGAUACUAAAGAUGGCCUUGGAAUAGAGCAACUCAAAAACAUGCAACACCUUAGCAAUAGAUUGGAACUGUUAAAUCUAAGCAAGAUAAAGAGUGGGGAGAAUGCAAAGGAAGCCCAUCUCAGUCAGAAGCAAAACCUAAUUGAGUUGUUGUUCUCUUGGGACCAAGAAAUAGAUGAUGGGCAUAAGGAUAUGGUCUGUAAUGUAGAAGAAGUACUUCAGUGUUUAGAACCUCAUAGUAAUCUCCAAAAGUUGCUGAUAAAUGGAUAUGGUGGCCUGGAAAUAUCACAGUGGAUGAGAAAGCCUCAGAUGUUUAACUGCUUGAGAGAACUCAGAAUGUCCGACUGCCCAAGAUGCAAGAGUAUACCUGCUGUAUGGUUCUCGGUCUCUCUGGAGACUUUGUCCUUAUAUAACAUGGAUAACCUGACAACAUUAUGUAAUAACCUUGAUGUGGAAUGCGGAGGAUGCAUUACCCCUCUGGAGAUUUUCCCAAGGUUGAAGAAGAUGAGGUUGAUUGAGUUACCAAGCCUGGAGAUGUGGGCAGAAAAUAGUGCGGGAGAGCCUAGUCAUAACCUGGUAACAUUCCCGGUGCUUGAAGAGCUAAGAAUCGAAAAUUGCCCCAAGCUUGCUAGUAUUCCAGUGGCCCCCAUUGUCAGCGAGCUGACAAUAGAUGGAAUUCACAGUACUGCAGUCGGUCCAGUUUUUAUGAACAUCCUUUUGGGCUCUUGGCCACUUCUCGUCAGCUUAACUCUUCGAUCUAAGGAAGACAUAUCCAUAUUAACUCUAGAAGCCCAGCAAAACCGAAGUCAAAUGCCUCUUGAAAAACUUACGAGUUUGACUCUGGAAGGGCCCAACAGCUUGAUCAGAAGCUCCGGAUUGUCCAGCUCACAACUUAUGGUUUGGAAAUGCUUUCCGUUCGUGAGAACUUUGACGAUUAGCAAAUGCAGCAAUCUUGUCCGCUGGCCAACAAAGGAGCUCGGGUGCUUGGAUGGCCUCCGCUAUCUAUGUAUCCAAAAUUGUGAAAACCUGGGGGGGAACACUUCAUCGCCUGAGGAGGAAACCCUUCCACUGUACCUGGAGGUAUUAAAGAUUUCAGAGUGCCGCAGCGUGGUGGCACUGCCUUCGAACCUUGGAAAUCUGGCCAAGCUUAGUAGUCUCUUUGUGCGUUGCUGCAGCGGCCUGAAAGCGCUGCCUGAUGGGAUGUGUGGCCUCACUUGUCUCAGGUCAUUGACGAUUUGGGCUUGUCCAGCUCUGGAGGAGUUCCCGCAUGGUCUCCAGCAGCGUUUGCCAGCCCUCGAACUCCUGAAGAUAGUUGGCUGCCUAGAGUUGGAAAGACGAUGCAGAGAAGUUGAGAUUGACGGAUGGAGCAAUCUUGUCCUCUGGCCAACAGAGGAGCUCCAGUGCUUGGAUCGCCUCCGCUCUAUGCGUAUCACAAACUGUGACAACCUGGAGGGCAACACUUCAUCGUUUGAGGAGGAAACCCUUCCUCUGUCCCUGGAGGACUUGACUAUUUCAUUCUGCCGCAGUGUGGUUACACUGCCUUCGUACCUUGGAAAUUUUGCCAAGCUGAGGAGUCUAUAUGUGUCUCACUGCAGCAGCCUGAAAGUGCUGCCUGAUGCGAUGUGUGGCCUCACUUUCCUUAGCGACUUGAGGUUUUAUUUUUGUCCAGCUAUGGAGGAAUUCCCGCAUGGUCUCCUGGAGCGGUUGCCAGCCCUCAAACUCUUAAGGAUAAGGGGAUGCCCGGAGCUGAUAAGGCGAUGCACAGAAGGUGGGGACUAUUUUCACUUGGUCUCCUCUGUCCCAGAUAAACUCAUUUAUUGA